AUGGAGUACGAGCACCAGUACAGCAGCAACAACAGCUUUGGCAAGGAGAAGAGGCCUCCGGCAAAGAGGGGGUAGGUCAAGCUCCAGAUAGCGAGGGCGGUGAGCAAUCUCGUGUCUCCCAGCGGCGCUGCUGACCGCUCGAAGCAGGCAAAUCGCAGCAGCUUCAGAAGGGAAACAGGCUACAACUAA
RNAcentral lists this ribosomal RNA (189 nucleotides) under Triticum aestivum (bread wheat). Its description in RNAcentral is "partial small subunit ribosomal RNA". The record is from RNAcentral. Lineage: Eukaryota; Viridiplantae; Streptophyta; Magnoliopsida; Poales; Poaceae.